AACUAAUACUAGCCCAUACCACAUAAAAUUCAACUAACCCAACUAAAUAAAACAAAACAUUUACCCUAAAUAAAAGUAUAGGAGAUAGAAAUUCUAAUUGGCGCCAUAGAGAGAGUACCGUAAGGGAAAGAUGAAAGACACAUUAAAAGUAAUAAACAGCAAAGCUUACCCCUUGUACCUUUUGCAUAAUGAUUUAACUAGAAGUAAUUUGACGAAGAGAACUUAAGCCAAACAACCCGAAACCAGACGAGCUACUUAAGAGCAGCUAAAAGAGCAAACUCAUCUAUGUGGCAAAAUAGUGAGAAGACUUUUAAGUAGUGGUGAAAAGCCUACCGAGCCUGGUGAUAGCUGGUUGUCCAGAACCGAAUUUUAGUUCAAUAUUAAGUCAUGCCUAAAAAAUAUAUAAUUAAAAUGCAGACUUAAGAUUUAGUCUAAAAGGGUACAGCCUUUUAGAAACAGGAUACAACCUUGACUAGAGAGUAAGUACCACACAAAUUCAUAGUUGGCUUAAAAGCAGCCACCAAUUAAGAAAGCGUUCAAGCUCAACAAACCAAUACCUAUUAAUUUAAAUAGCGGAUACGAACCCCUAGUAUGACACUGGACCAUUCUAUUCUCAAAUAGAAGAGACACUGUUAAUAUGAGUAACAAGAAUUAGCUUCUCCCUGCACGAGCUUAUAUCAGAUAACGGAUGACCCACUGAUAAUUAACAACAAGAUACGUCCUACACUACAACUAAAACAACUAUCUAACUAACUGUUAAUCCAACACAGGUGUGCACCAAGGGAAAGAUUAAAAGAAGUAAAAGGAACUCGGCAAACACAAACCCCGCCUGUUUACCAAAAACAUCACCUCUAGCAUAACAACUAUUAGAGGCACUGCCUGCCCAGUGACAUCUGUUAAACGGCCGCGGUAUCCUGACCGUGCAAAGGUAGCAUAAUCAUUUGUUCUCUAAAUAAGGACUUGUAUGAAUGGCCACACGAGGGUUUUACUGUCUCUUACUUCCAAUCAGUGAAAUUGACCUUCCCGUGAAGAGGCGGGAAUAAAUAAAUAAGACGAGAAGACCCUAUGGAGCUUUAAUUAACUAACCCACGGACAACAAACCUCACUUCUAAGGAAAACAAGACAACACCCUGAUGGGUUAGCAAUUUAGGUUGGGGUGACCUCGGAAUACAGAAAAACUUCCAAGUGAUUAAAAUCCAGACUGACAAGUCAAAAUUAACCACAUCAAACAUUGAUCCAAUCUAUUUGAUCAACGGAACAAGUUACCCUAGGGAUAACAGCGCAAUCCUGUUUGAGAGUCCAUAUCGAUAAUAGGGUUUACGACCUCGAUGUUGGAUCAGGACAUCCCAAUGGUGCAGAAGCUAUUAAUGGUUCGUUUGUUCAACGAUUAAAGUCCUACGUGAUCUGAGUUCAGACCGGAGCAAUCCA
RNAcentral lists this ribosomal RNA (1428 nucleotides) under Nyctimene cephalotes. RNAcentral describes it as "partial 16S ribosomal RNA". It matches the Rfam family "Bacterial large subunit ribosomal RNA", at positions 135 to 2628 of the family's 2925-position model. Lineage: Eukaryota; Metazoa; Chordata; Mammalia; Chiroptera; Pteropodidae. The record is from RNAcentral.